Acanthochromis polyacanthus (spiny chromis) is the source of this 3367-nucleotide long non-coding RNA. RefSeq lists it as uncharacterized. NCBI's taxonomy places the organism in Eukaryota, Metazoa, Chordata, Actinopteri, Pomacentridae. The record is from RefSeq and is a predicted model, not a curated record. The transcript is spliced from 3 exons.
UCUGAUGUUUAACAUAGUUUUUAAAUACUUCCCGCACUAUAUUUUCAUCCUAAAAUGUUCAAGUCCACUGUAAGUCAUCAAGGGUAAUCAUAAAUCAACACUCGUGCCAACUAUUGUAUAAAGCAUGAGUAUUUAGUUUUCCUGUUAUCUUUUUUUAGCCUCAUCCACAGAAACAGAGAAAAUUGUUGUACAAGAGAUUUCUCUGUACAUCUUCAGUUCCAAGAACAUCCCUGUACAGAAGAAAAAUUACUGAAAAGAUUUGUUUUACAGAUCAUGGUAAUGCAGAUUACCAACAAGUGGAUAGGGAGAAACAGCAGGACAGAGAGGACAAUGGUGGAAGUGGACAAGAGGACAGAGAGGAAGAGGAUGCAAGUGGACAGGAGGACAGAGAGGAAGAGGAUGCAAGUGGACAGGAGGACAGAGAGGAAGAGGAUGCAAGUGGACAAGAGGACAGAGCAGAAGAGAGGAACAAAGCUGGAAAUCCAGACUCAGACCCAUUGAUGAAACAGCAUGAUGACGAUCCUGUAUACCCCGGUGCUCCCCUCACAAAAGGGCAGAGUCUACUCUUACUCAUGUCAUAUGUACUGAGGCACAAUUUGACGGGAGUAGCUCUACAGGAUCUUCUUACAAUGUUUAAUGAACAUUUCCCUGGCUUGGUGCCAGCAACCUCUUAUCUUUUUCAUAAAGCGUAUGGACAGUUUGGCCAGUAUGUGCCACAUUUUUAUUGUAUCAACUGUGAAACCUACAUGGGACCCCGUGAGACAGCUCCAGAAAAAUGUUCUUCUUGUAAUGCUGAUUUUGACAUUGACAGAAACUUAAGGAUUGGGUCUUACUUUCUUGUACUGAGUUUAUCAACCCAAAUUGUAGACAUUGUGGAAAAAUCUGGAAUAUAUUUAAAUGAAAGAGAAUCUAUUCCAGGCAUUGUUUCAGAUAUUCAGAGUAGGGCUGAAUACGAAACACUCUAACAGAGCGGACAAAUAGGGGCUGAUGACAUAUCAGUUAUGUGGAAUUGUGAUGGAAUUCUAGUUUUCAACAGCAAUAAUUUUCAGAUAUGGCCAAUUCAGUACCAAAUCAUAGAGCUGUCACCAAAAGAGCGUCAAGCCAACAUAUGUAUACCAUGCUUGUGGUUUGGUAAAAAGCAAGCCCAAUAUGAUCACAUUUUUAACACCUUUUGUGUCAGAGCUCAAGGAACUGGAACAGACUGGAAUUAAAUGGAUGGACUCUGAAAAUGUAGAGCAUACAAGUAAAGUUCAUUUACUCCUGUGCUCCUCAGAUUCAGUUGCCCGCCCCCUCCUGAGAAACACAAAACAGUUCAAUGGCAAAUAUGGGUGUGACUUCUGCCUUCACACUGGUGGUGGUCCCUAUGUCUGGGAAACCCCAGAACCACCUUUAAGAACAGAGAUAGAUAAUUUUCGGCAUGCUAUGUUGGCAAUACCUGCGAAUACAGUAAUGGGUGUGAAAGGCCCAUCCCCUUUGAUGGAACUUGAGAGCUUCAAGAGGAUCACCGGAUUCAUUCCUGAGUACCAACAUAGUGUCUGCCUGGGUGUCACUAAGCAGAUUACAUCUCUGUGGCUCGACAGUAAGCACCAUAAUGAAGACUGGUACUUAGGCAGCAAGGUUAGUGAUAUAGAUCAGGAAUUGCUGGUCAUUAACUCACCUGUGGAGGUGACAAGGGCACCAAGGACCGUGAAGGAUAGAAAAUUCUGGAAAGCAUCUGAGUGGAGGUCAUUUUUGUUGUUUUAUGCGUUGCCUGUUUUGAAUGGCAAUCUGAAAAAGAAGUACUGGAAUCACCUUUUUUAUUGGUUUUUGCAGUGCACACUCUUCUUCAGGAUGCCAUCAAAGUAAGACAUGUGGAUGUGGCAGAACAAGCUCUGCGAAAGUUUGUCCUUAACUUUGAGAAACUUUAUGGAGCUGCUAAUGCUUCUUGAAAACAAUGGCAAAUGCUGAUGACAGCAUAAAUACAUUAUUCGGCAAAAUUCAAAGUACCUCUGGUUUAAGAAAAAAAUCAAGAGUUUCAGCGUGUCUGAGGUUUGGGCUGGCCAAAGAAAGGCAGCACAUCUGUGUUGCAGAGGAUGGCUAUUGAUUAAGUUUUAUAGGAGUGACAGUCCAUUAAGGUUUAUUUUAUGACCGUUUCAUUUGUCGCAGCAUAGUUUAUCAUUCAUAUAACAACACCACUCUUAAAAAGAGAAACAAUUCAGUUGUACAGUUAAAUGAUGGAACAUUCUGUGAAUUUAUGACCCUAGUGGCCUUUACAUCUGAUGGGGCCUCAUCCACAUCCACCAAGUUCUGUAUUUUAGUAAAAGAGCUUACCAAGAAUGGAGGAAGGGUUUGUAGUGAUAUUCAGUUAAAUAUAUCUUCCACAUUUCUAAAUGAGGUGUCUCACAUGAAUAAUGUUUUUGCCGUGCAUCCCCAUUCCCUCAAACGUAAAUGUGUAUUGGUUAAGUCCAAGGAAAAAAUGUAUGUCAUUCCCCUUUCAAACACUGUUGAAAGGGAUUAAAACUUUGGGUGAACUACUACUUUGCAGGCACCAGUGCCAAACCAACCUCCACAUAUCAGUCCUAUAUGCAUCAAGUGCUGUCAGUAACUUUCUGAUCUGUACAAACAUUCUCCAAUUGUUCUGUUGCCCAGCUUUUUCUCCACUAGACAAUACUAAUGAAAUAUUCUUUUUUGAAGACAAAGUGUGAGCAAACAUUAUAUUUUGUCUGUAAAUAAUUCAGUAUUAACUGUUGUAAUGUAGGUGAUGCCAUCUGUGAAAUCACAAUGUAGCACUCUACCAACUCCGCCACUUGCUUUAUAGCACAACAGUUACAUAUUUGUGCACUAGCACUUUUGAAGUGUGCAUGUUUGUGUUUAAUUUUGUGUUGUGUCUAUGAUGUAUCAUAUCAUGUUUUUUUUUUUUUUUUUUGCAAAACACAUUAAAAAUCAUAGAACAAUGACAAGGAUUGCUAUGAGUGCGUUUUACAUACAGCACAAAAUUUCUUACAUUCUUCUUACAUUCUUGCAUUUUCCAAAAGAUUGUCCUGAAGUACAGUACAGUACAGUAAGUAAAUAACUUCACUUUAUCAUUGUGACACUCAAACUUAAUAUUACAGUGUUGAUAUUAAAGUGUGCACUUUUAAAGUAUGCUCUCAGUGAAUAUUACAAUAACAAUUUUGAGCAUACGUUUAAAAAAUAUGUCAAAAAAUAUAUGUAAACAGUAAUUUCAAAAAGUACAUUUUAGAAAAGACACAUAACUUAUACAUAAAAUGUACUGUUAUAUAAUAUAUUUAUAUCAAGUGUAAUAUAGUAUAACUUUUUUAUAGUGUGUUAAAAGUAUAAGCAUGAUUGUGUGAUAUUAGUAUACUUUUUAUAUAUUAAAAAAAGUACA